CAAGACUCUCCAGACUGGAGAGAACUUUUAGAUUUCCUGGCAGGGACUCCAUUUUGCAUUCCCAAAAGUACAGGUGCUUGACAGAUAAGAGAUUUACAGAUUCUCCAAAUGAAGCUGACGGCUCCUUGCAAUCAAGAAGAGCAAGAUAUGGUGGGACUAUAAACCCUUCAGCCUUGAGCAUCUGGUUGAGCAGUACGAAACUACUAACGGUGAGCCAUUUCUGGACACGAAACUGUGAGAUGCACUUGGCAGUGAGGUUUGGAACAUCUCCCAAACUUAGUUCAUCAAGUUGCCAGGAAGACAAGCGUUCAAGAGAGCACAGAUCGGGGAGACCACAUAGAUCUAAUGAUUCAAGGGAGGUCAGGUGGCCAAUCGACAAGGAUGGGGAGCUUCUGCAAUAUCCAAUGCAAAGAGAUUUCAGGUGUGGCAAGCCAUUAAUGAACGAAUCGGCUGCAAGAAUGCAGCCUGUUAUGUUGAGGUGUCCAGCAAGGUUGAAUGACAUAAAUUCUGCUCCACGUGCCAGAUCUAAAGAAGGGCAAUCAAUACAAUAAAGUCUGGAAAGAGAUGGAGCAGCACGUAAGCCCCCCAGUGAUCUGAGACACCAACAACCUCUUACCGUCAACGAGUCAAGCUUUAUCAAAUGCUCAAACACCUCUUCUGACGGAAGUGCAGAUAAUGCCAUAUUAUAUUCCAUUAUUAACGUUGUCAAUGAAGUGAGGCCACCAAGGCAAAUAGCUAAAGCUUCAUCUGUAAUACUGCAUGAAGAAAGAACAAGACCAACAAGUCCAAAUGGUAGAACCAGUGGCAGCUCCAUGGUCCUUCCAUAAAUGACUCUUAUCCUCUGCUCAUGGCAAAAAAGCCAUGCCUUGAUCAUAUUUUCUUUGUCUGAUAUAUAUCUCCUCCUUCCUCUAGGCCACUUUCAAUAAUUUGAAGAUGUUGUGAUAUAUCAUCACCCAUCUGCGUUGUCAACUGCUUCAGGGAUGAAUAGUCCUCUACAAGUACUUCCGUAAUAUUAAAUCCUGAAUUGACCUCCCACAUCGAUGCAAGUUUAGAUGCCAGGUCCUCUGUCUUCAUUAUAUUUCCCCUCAGACCAUGCUGGUCGAGCUCAUUUUUGGAGACAAACAUAAGCAGUGGGCACGUCUGAAUUGACAAUUUUGUAAGCAUUGCUGGAAGACAAGGUAAUAUUUUCAAUUUUGGAACAUUUUCUAGCGGAUGUGUGAAAUCUGCAACGGAUUGGCAAUUUUCAAUUUUGACAAUUUUGGAAUAUUUUCCACCUGCCUCGCAAGUCCCAACUGUGGACUGUGCACAGUCGCCAAACAGAGAACCGAGGGGACAGCAUCUGCAACGGAUUGGCUUCUGACUUGAACUGGGUGGCGAGUCAGUGUCGUGUUGUGCUUGUGCCAGGGUGACCUUGAGGUCGAGGUGCCUGUUUACAACAUGAAAUGUUUUUAAAAUAUAAAAUAUUGGAAACCUUAUUCAUUGUGCUGGAUAAUGAAUCAGCAGAACCUAUACCUCCUCAUUUCGUUGAAGAUCAUUCAUAGAAGUGCUUCCAGCGGAUGUGUGAAAUCUGUGGCCAGCUUUCUCCAUCAGGCUCUCGGCAGUUCUUCUUCAAGUCGUCACAACCAUAUAUACUUAUACGCUGGAGGGAGGAUGGCAGAACUGGUAAAGAUGUUAUGUUGGGGCAAAUGCCGAUAUCAAGCCUCUCCAGACUGGAGAGAAAUUGUAGAUUUCCUGGCAGGGACUCCAUUUUGCAUCGCCAAAAGUACAGGUGCUUGACAGAUAAGAGAUUUGCACAUUCUCCAAAUGAAGCUGACGCCUCCUUGCAAUAACGAAGAAUAAGGUUCAGUGGGACUAUAAACCCUUCAGUCUUGAGCAUCUGGUUGAGCAGUACGAAACUACUAACGCUGAGCCGUUUCUGGACACGAAACUGUGAGAUGCACUUGGCAGUGAGGUUUGGAACAUCUAUCAAACUUAGCUUUUCAAGUUGCCAGGAAGACAAGCCUUCGAGAGUGCACAGAUCGGGGAGACCACGUAGAGAUAAUGAUUCAAGAGAGGUCAGGUGGCCAAUCGAUAAGCAUGGGGAGCUUCUGCAACAGUAAAUGCAAAGAUAUUUCAGGUGUGGCAAACCAUUAAUGAAUGAAUCAGCUGCAAGAAUGCAGCCACGUAUGUAGAGGUCUCCAGCAAGGUUGAAUGACAUAAAUUCUGCUCCAUGUGCCAGAUCUAAAGAAGGGCAAUUAAUACAAUGAAGUCUGGAAAGAGAUGGAGCAGCAUGUGAGCCCCCCAGUGAUCUGAGACACCAACAACCUCUUACAGUCAACCAGUCAAGCUUUGUCAAAUGCUCAAACACCUCUUCUGAAGGAAGUGCAGUUAAUGCCAUAUUAUAUUCCAGUAUUAACGUUGUCAAUGAAGUGAGGCCACCAAGGCAAAUAGCUAAAGCUUCAUCUGUAAUACUGCAUGAAGAAAGAUAAAGUUCACGUAUUCCUGAUGGUAGAACCAGUGGCAGCUCCAUGGUCCUUCCAUAAAUGACUGUUAUCCUCUGCUCAUGGCAAAAAAGCCAUGCCUUGAUCAUAUUUUCUUUCUCCAAUAUUAUAUCAACUCCUUCCUCUAGGCCACUUUCAAUAAUUUGAAGAUGUUGUGAUAUAUCAUCACCCAUCUGCGUUGUCAACUGCUUCAGGGAUGAAUAGUCCUCUGCAAGUACUUCCCUAAUAUUUGAUCCUGAAUUGACCUCCCACAUUGAUGCAAGUUUAGAUGCCAGGUCCUCUGUCUUCAUUAUAUUUCCCCUCAAAUCAUGCUGGUUGAGCUCAUUUUUAGACACAAACAUAAGCAGUGGGCACGUCUGAAUUGACAAUUUUGUAAGCAUUGCUGGAAGACAAGGUAAUACCUUCAAUUUUAGAACAUUUGUUAGGGACAGCCUAGUGCACUGCCGUAGGAGCUCAGUAUUAGGGGGUAGGCCUUCUAACAAAGUGCAGCCAUUAAGCUUAAAACAUUCCAAAUUUUCAAAAUAGGAUGGCUCGAGUAACCACCUUUGGAUAUGUGUCAGAUUUGUAGCCUUUGAUUGUGACGACACGAAGUUGGGGCGACGGUCUCAGACCUUCUAGAAUAUCCAAAUGUAAAGUAUCUGCUGCAUCCAUUCCAUUCUCGCUACUCCAGGCAAGCUGCAACUUUUUAAGGCGAUUCUUCUGAUAUAGCAUGGACUCUAAGGCUUCUUCCUUUUCUGAAACAUUCUCAAGAUUUUGUACUCUUAAACUGCCACCAAGCUCAUUCAAGCCCUUCAGCUGCCACAACUCGUAUCCUUGCUUCUUUUGCACAAAAAAGGUAUGGAUGUGUUGUAGCGAAGUUAGCUUGCCUAUAUUGGGAAUUUGAUGAAUAGAUUUUUCAAUCAAGGCACGUGGGUACUCCGUGUACACCCCCAUAUGUCGUAACUUACUUAAGUUGCUAAGCUUGUCAGGCAACCUGUCCACCAUUGGGCUUAACUGAAGUAGCUGCAAGUGGUAAAGAGUACAUAAUGAUCUAGGCAAUUCAGAAAUUAACGUUCUGAUAAGGUUCAAAUACCGAAGGUGCUUCAGCCUACCAAUAGAUUCAGGCAACUUACUACUGUUGUAGAAUGACAAAUACAAUACACGUAACUUCUUCUGGUUCUGCAGCAUCUGAUCAAAAAUAUCGCUUGCAUCAUCCAUUAGUGGAUCAAUGCAGAUGAUAGUGCGUAAAUGCUGUAGCUUGUAGAUAAUUUGCUUAUGCUUUUGCAAACUCUGAACCUGAAGAGAGAGAUGUCGAACAGUGCAUGGUACUUCUCUGAUAUUAUCCUCUUCUAAUCUGAAGCAGUCUUCUACAGAGAGUGACUGUGCCAAAUCAUGAAGGAUGUCGUGCAUGAUAUAGUAUGAAUAACACUCUGUUUCAGAAACCAAUUGAAAGAAAGACCCAAAGAGCAUCUCAUUGAAAUAAUCCCUCCCGACAUCUUCCAUUGUCAUGCUACUCAAAUUACAUGAACCAACAAGCCCUUCUGCCACCCAAAGGUGAACCAACUCAUCAGGUUUAUAUUUAUGACCUUUUGGGAAUAAGCUGCAAUACAAGAAGCACCUCUGCAGACGUGGAUCUAACUUCUUGUAACUCCACAAGAGAACUGUGAAGGGCUCACUUAAAUCUCUGAGCUUUAGAGCACCUUUCCAUUCAGCAGUAUCUUUUUUUGUGCUCAACCGGGAACCAAGAACUUUUGCUGCCAAAGGACAUUGUCCAAGCCUUUUAGCAAUCUCCACUGCAGUAUGUUCCAGAUUAUUGUGCAAAAGUUCAUCUCCAAUUUUUGCUCCAGAGAAAGCAUGGUGUUUGAAGAGUGCCAAGAAAUUGGCAUCAUCCAAUUUUUCCAAAUGAACAACUUGUUGUUGAUCACAGAAAACAGCGGCCGGAAGUGUUUCACGCCGAGAAGUCACCAAAACUUUGCUUCCCAUCUGUUUAGAGACGAAUGGAUCCAGGAGCUGAAACCACUCUGUCUCGCUGUCUGAUUUUUCGAACCAAACAUCAUCCAAGACAAGUAGGAAUUUCUCUGACUUCUGCAGUAUGUCACGUAAUUUGCACUGGAGAGUAUCAAGAUUAUUAAUACAUGGGCACUCCCCAUUUGUUGCAGACUCAAUAAUCUCCCUUGUGUGACGACGGACAUCAAGCUUGCGUGAGAUGCAGACCCACAUUGUCGACGAAAGCUAGUCGGCAGUCUACCUUGGGGUAUACCCACGGUAGUAGUUUAUCGGUAGACGGUGCGCAAACUACGAACUCGAUGGUGACGCAAGACACGGACAAGCUUUUUAUCCAGGUUCGGCCGCCGAGUUGGCGUAAUACCUACGUCCUGCGUCUGGUUGUAUUGGAUUGUGUUGAGAGAUAAUCUGUCCUAGGGGGUCCCUUGCCCCUCUUUAUAUAGUCUGGAGGGCAGGGUUACAGAUCUAGAAACUAAUCCUAGUCGGUUACAAUUGCCAUGGAUAAUUCGAUAUCAAUUCCUAUUCUAACCGACUAGAAUCCUGCUUGAUCUCCACGUCUUGUUUCCUUGCGCGAAACUCGGGCUGUCGGAUCAAGCCUUGAACUCGUCUCGUAGUGGGCCAAGCUUCCUGGCUGAAGUCUAGCCGUAAGGGUAUAGGGGUUUAUACCCCCACAGCUAGUCCCCGAGCGCCAUGUAUUGUGAUGCAACACGCCGUCUUGAGCUUCUUCGACCAGCGAGGCCUGUCGUCUUCAAUGAGCGGGGAAAUCGCCCAAACAGUUGCAACGGUAUUUUGACCAACUCAAAAGACAGUUGAUCAACAUUGACAUCGAAGAAGCAGGUUGUUCGAAGAAUGCAUGGUGCUCUUAAUUAAAAAAGAUUUCUUUCCUGGUGAAGUGUGCCCACUUUACUUUUCUGAAUAGUAUAGUCUUUCAAAAAGCAAGCAUAUUCACCGCAAGGUGAAGUGUGCCCACUUAGUCCCCGAGCCUGGUAGUAGGUGACGUAGGCACGUGGUGCCAGGGUCAAAAGAAAAGUCCUCAAAGAAAUUCUGAAACUGAGAUGCAUCGCCAGAUGCAUCGUACCGAUGUAGUCCCCGAGCUUGCUGGAAGGCGAAGUAUGAGCCUUGUAGCAAGGUCUAAAAAAUUGAAUUUACCAGUCCCCGAGCAUAUCAUGCUCGUAUGCAAUUGAAUAGACUAAUCGACCAGUCCCCGAGCAUAGAACGCUCGGUGGUCGGUACAGUCUCCGAAUUCUCAAAUUGGUGGGCUGGUCGACCAGUCCCCGAGCGUAUAGUGCUCGGUGGUCGGUGCAGUCCCCAAGUUCUUAAAUUGGUGAGCUGGUCGACCAGUCCCCGAGCGUAUAGUGCUCGGUGGUCGGCACAGUCCCCGAGCACGGCGUAGGGACCGGUGGACAAGUCCCCGAGCGUGGUUGGGAACGUAAACGUGCUCGGUGGUCGGCACAGUCUUCGAGCAUAGCAUAGAGAGUAGUCGACAAGUCCCCGAGCGUGGUUGGGAACGUAAACGUGCUCGGUGGUCGGAGCAGUCCCCGGGCACGGCGUAGGGAAUAGUCGACGAGUCCCCGAGCGUAGCUUGUCGACUGGGCCAAACUCCUGAAAAAUAAAUAUAGAGAAAAUAGGUAGUACAUGAUGUAUAAAUAAACUCUAGAUAAAAAAUCAGCACUGAGAUAAGUUUUAGACUUUUUAUUAUAAAAUUAGCACGAGUAGUUAAUUCAUCCUAGAGCUUGUACCAGCUCUGGUCUAGCCAACAAUCAGCAUGAGGUGCGGAACCUAGACACGCGUGGGAUUGCCAGCCUCGCCAGAGAGCUACUGCCGACCACCCGGAACGCAGAGGGCGGAUCUCGUGCACGUGUAGGGAGGAGUCGGAGACAGUACCGGCUCUGGAAAGCUCGUGUAGGAGAAAAAACUAGUGUGGCUAAACAAAAAGUUGUUUUUGAAGGAUAAUAAAAAAUAUUAUGCCAAAAAUAAAUAAGAUAUUAGAAGUGUACUUAUCUUUGGAUGAAAGUCUGGUCGGUGACGACCAAAUUGUCUGGCCCUCGAGCUUUUGGACUUGUUAUCGUGACGGUGGUCGCGGUUGUCGUAGCGCCGUUCUUCGCGGCGAUUAUUAUUGCGACUGGUGGUCAGAGCCAGUAGGCCAAACAACUUGGUCGUUAGCCCGAGCAGAUCGAUGUCGUCGAUCUGCCUCUCUUUGUAGUAGGGAAGCAGGUGACGCAUUGUCGGCGUGGUCGGAGACGCUGCUGGUGUGGUCGAAGUCGUAGCCAGCGUGGUUGGAGCUGCAGCCGACGUCGGUGAAGAAGUGAUCGGCACAGAUUGGAUCUACGCCUCCUUCGCGGUCGUGGUGGUGAAGCUGUUGAAGCUGACGGUGAACGUGAAGCCGCCCGCCAUGGCCACGAAGUUUGGGAUGAUAGCCAUCUUGUUCGUCUAGGAGAGCUGUACGCACACCCCCUACCUGGCGCGCCACUGUCGACGAAAGCUAGUCGGCAGUCUACCUUGGGGUAUACCCACGGUAGUAGUUUAUCGGUAGACGGUGCGCAAACUACGAACUCGAUGGUGACGCAAGACACGGACAAGCUUUUUAUCCAGGUUCGGCCGCCGAGUUGGCGUAAUACCUACGUCCUGCGUCUGGUUGUAUUGGAUUGUGUUGAGAGAUAAUCUGUCCUAGGGGGUCCCUUGCCCCUCCUUAUAUAGUCUGGAGGGCAGGGUUACAGAUCUAGAAACUAAUCCUAGUCGGUUACAAUUGCCAUGGAUAAUUCGAUAUCAAUUCCUAUUCUAACCGACUAGAAUCCUGCUUGAUCUCCACGUCUUGUUUCCUUGCGCGAAACUCGGGCUGUCGGAUCAAGCCUUGAACUCGUCUCGUAGUGGGCCAAGCUUCCUGGCUGAAGUCUAGCCGUAAGGGUAUAGGGGUUUAUACCCCCACACACAUCCUGAUAUCAAAGCCUUCUUCUAUCCUCUUGUCAUUGUAGACAUACUGCACUAAGGUGGACUUCCCCAUUCCGCCGGCACCAAUAAUGGCCAAACUUGAGUACCUAGUCGAACUUGCCUCGUCAGCUGCUGUCUUGCCAAGAAGAAAAUCUACUAUACGAUCGCGAUCCUUGUCACGACCGAAAACCUUUGAUGUGGAAAGUGAUGUCACUGUGGUUGGAGGAACAAUGGUUGCUGGUACAUUUGGCCACCCUAAACCUGUAGUAUUUCCAGGUGCUAUGCUAAGAAGAUCCCGAAGCUCCUUGGCUUCUGUUAGGAUAGCUUUGAUCUCAUUCAUCUUGCUAAUUAGCCUUCUAUUCUCAGGGAGCAAGUUGCGUGCCUUGCUCUUAGCAGUAUGAAAAGGCUUCAUGAUUGUUGAUGCAAUGGAGGAUGUUUCAUCCUCUCCUAGCAGGGGAUCUUUUCCGCUCUUGGCCUUGCGCUUGAGGAGAUUGUACUCAUGCUCGUCCAGCAGGUCCUCAGCAUCAUAAAAGGCUUCUUUGAGCCGCCGAAGCCAUGCCUCGAGCUUGCCCUUAUGGGGGCUCUUCUCUGCUGCUUGAAUCACCAGAUCAAAUUGUGGCAGGACGGUGGCUUCUAGUUUUUGGAGCUCACGCACCAUGUCCACACUGAGGUAAGCUGAAGCUUCGUUAAGAAGCUUGUUGAAAAUGGGCGAUGCUGCCCACCUUAACCCAGCGAGUGCCAAGUCUGCCAUGGAAUUGGAGUGGUUUGUGCUUCUCCUUUGUGGGUGUGGACUGGAGAGAUCUUGGAUGAAUAUUUCCAGGUGAAAAGAAGAGGACAAUUGAUUGGCAAUGGCACGAAAUGAUUGUGUUUUUCUUGGAAAUGUAAAUGAUGGGAAACAAGCAAAGAGUACAAUUAAUAUCUUUUUUCCUUCCUUUUUUGGGGUUUUCUAUUUUUUCUUUCUUUUUUUUUGUCGUAGGAGUGAAAUGAAUAAGUUGAAGAUGCAGGGUGCAAGGGUCUGGUGGCGAAGAGAAAGAUUAAACAGGAAAAGAAAGAUAAAUGGAUGGACAAUGGAAACUGUUUUCUUUUUUAUGUAUGGACGAGGUGCUUCUGCAGAAGGCAAGUUACUGAUAAGGACAACAACGGAAUGAAGAAAACCUGGAAUUAAGAAGACGCAUAGAAUUAGUGAUUCUGAUUGGGAAAAUGGAAGACAAAUUGAUUAUUUUUCUUUCUCAUGUGCUACAGCACACAGAAUGAAAUAGCUACUAACAAGUUAACACAACAAACUAAGGAGAUUGGUGAUCUUACAUGGUUUUGCGGGAUGAAGUUACACCAAGUAAAAAAAAUCAAGGGCGCUGGGAGCAGAGUUGCUGGAGCUAGUGUCGACAACGAGCACGAGGUGGCCGAAGUGGUGGACGGGACUCUGGAACAAGCACUGCACUUCAAGAGAACAAACAGGCAGCCAGCCAAGAAUAAGGUAUACACGCUGGCAGCGAAGGAGGGAAAGGAAGAAGCAAGGAACAAUACCGGAAAAGCUUGGCAGUGCUGAUUCCUAGUGAUGAUCUUUUUUUUUAACAGAUUGCUGGUGAUGAUCUGUUCUGUAGUCUCACGGUGAGGACACCGAUGGUGCUGCUGGCCUUCUGCUGCUUGCUGGAAAAAGGAAGAAGCAAGGAAAUUGGAAGGUGGAGAAAGAGGAGUAGACAAGGUCUAUCGAUUGGGACUUCUCUGAAAUAGGAGUUUGUUGGGACCUGCAUUUGGUGUGAAGUACUAGUCAGCAUAAACACAGACAAAGGAAGCUUCUGGGUAGCUUCACUAGGUUUCUAUCCUUGAGAAAGGAACGGUUCAACCGUAUCCCCCCUUGCAAUAAAUGAGUGAAGGCGAACACAGAGUAGACAAGGUCUAUGAAUUCAUCAAAAACGUUAUCAGCAGUUUUGCAACUCAAACACUGCCUAAACAACUCGUAGGAAAACACAGCCCAAAUGAAAAGCAAGGCGCACAUACGGCCACCUCACCUGUAUCCAGGAAACGGUGGAAUGUGGUCACCUCUCACAUGGAAAAUCACAUAAGAUGAUUUUUUUUAUUCCAUAACCCAUAUAAGAACUGAUCAAAACACAAAAGGAUAGACAAAUUUUGACUGACCACUGACCAGUCUCUUGCACUAGUACUGCUGCUUCUUUGUGAAAGGAAUCAGCCUUGACGCCUAUGCUACUGCUCGUCGGUGCUGCUGUACUAGGGCUGUGGUGCCUGUGUCGCCUCUCCUCCCCUUCCUGAAUCCUCUGCCGUGGUCGGUUCCUGCCUUGAGCACGGCCGGCACGCCCCGCAGCUUCCGCAGUAAAAGUAAUCUCCGAGGUGGCGAGACCUAACUCCGGCAACACCGGCGACAUGGAGGGUUCAGCGUUCGGCCGUCUUGUGCGGUGCCGGCGCUGGAACACGACACAGGAGAAUGGCCGAACGGCGGACGGGGAAAUGCUGAACAGAACAGGAACGGAUAUUGCGGUAUUGGACUGGGUAAGUAACUCAUCUAUUUGGGCCGCCCCACAUCGUCUUCAUCGCUCGUUUGAAGUUAGAGCAGCAGGAACAACGGCUGCACAGUCCCCUUCUUCUGCUUGAAUAAGGCUAUUCCAACAGGAGACCCAAAUGUAAAAUCUCUACUAUAAUGGAUCAAUUAGAAUUAUAUUAGAUCCCCAAGUAAAACCUUUUCCACUGAGAGCCUUCAACCAUUGUGCACCUAGUAAAAUUAAAAUGUACACAGUAAAUUGUCUCUGUUAAAAUCAAGGGCUACAAAAUAAUUGCUCAUAGACCUCAACUCAAUCUGAUGGCCAUGAUCACUUCCAGGCUUCAACGCGACUCCCAGGCUUCAACACGCUCGCGUCCCUCGACGCACGGCCUCCACCUCCCCAAGCGUGACAGGCAGGAUUCGAUCCCUGCUACCGUUCCCGGCGGCGAGGUGGCACGGGAUCGACGGAGGAACUAGGGGCUGCGGCUGAGGGCUUGGCUCCUGCAGAGCUUCGGUGGCUGUGAAGGUCGACGACAGACCCCGGCUAGGGGCGGUAGCGGCAGCGGAGGCGCGGUCACAGCGACCCGGCCGGCGGCGGAGGAAGGCGAGACGGACACAUUGGUGGGAUUGGUUGGGUGCAGUUGCGAGGUCUCGGAGGAGCUGCUGCUCACGCUGGUGGAAAGCUAGGUAGUCUUGAGAUAGCACACUACGCGCACGGGGUGUUCGUGCAAAUGCUUGGCACGGCCUUGUCAAAUCCUUUGCUCCCCUCCGACGUUGCUGCCAUGGACUCCACGUUGGCACCUGAAAUGGCCCCGAUGCCUCCUAUUCCGCCGCCGCCGUUGUCCCGACCGCCGAGGAUCUCGUGGGGGCGUGGCAGUGAUGACCUUGGAUGAGCAGUUCCAAUCUGUUGCGGGGAUUAGGGAGAGAAGUGCAUCCAGGAGGACGAGUUCAGGCGCCUGCUUGAUAACAAGCCUGUCCCCAUCUACUACAAUGGCUUCGAGCCUUUAGAGGCAUGCACAUCGCACAGGUUUGACCUUCUGUCUUCAGCCCCUGCCUCCAGGGCAUCAUUACUACAAAAAAUGAUAAGUUUGCAUGACUGAGCUAAAGAUAGAUUUGGCUGCAUCGCCGUUCUAAUUUUUUAAUAGCAUGUAGAAAGAGACCAUCGUUUAUAAUGGCACACAAGGAAAAAGCUCAAAUAAAUUGUGUGGAGGUUCAAUGAAGCUACAAAAAAUAUAAAAGAACAUAGAGACCACAUGACAGAUCAUUUACAAAGGGAUAUCAAAUACCAGCAACAAGAACAAGAGAACGGAAGCACAUUUUUGAAUUUAGAAACACGUGAUAGCAACUGUUUAUUUUUUCUUUUUAAUUAAAAAAGAUAAAGGAAAGAAAUAUUCCAGACUCCAGUUCGCCUCACGAAAAAUAAAAACCAUAGCCACAUUUUGUAUCAUCAUAAGUUAUUUAUUAGAGACUCAUUCUAUCAUAGGAAUACAUGUAAGCAAUUAUUUAUGGGCGUUGCUAAGGUAUAACUCUUACCUAGUAAGAGGUAAGAGUUCAAAUAAAUCCGAGACGUUGAAUAUUAGAAGAAAUAAAGUAAGUAGUAAAAAGAAAAAUAAAUAACAUAUUGUUUCCGUUUAUUUACAUGUCUACAUGCAAUUUGUUUCCUUUUGAUUGCAACCAACGACUACAACUUCAUGGAAGACCAUCGGGCAAGAUGGUUUUUAGUCAAAAUUCAACUUUCCAAGACAUGCUAUUUUACGUUUCUUAUUAAUUGGGCAUGGUCACGUUACAACUUAAAAAAAUAUUACAUUACAAUCAUGUACACUAUGGAUUGAAUAAGCUUUACCUUUUUAUAAUGUCGAAAACAAAAUGAAUUUAAAUUUCUCAUCGUCACGUUCCAACAAAUUAAUUAAAUAAAUUUUACAAAAUCAUUUUGGGUUAGCUAUUAUAAAUCAUUGUGUUAUUAUAUACACAAUAAAAUAAAAUGGUUGCGCAUGUGUGAACUAUGUCCCCCCAUCGUGUGUCCAUGUCCAUGUUAUUAAAAACCUAAGAUCAUGUUAGGAAAGUAAGAUCAUGCAUGCAUAUUAUAUACAUAAUACGAAGGUAUUUUCCUUCUGAGGUAAUAUUUGACAAUUGCUAUUCAGAUCGACGGUUCAUAGUUUUUUAGAUGUACCAUAGCAAGGCCCAUUAUUCAUAAUCAAGGAAUAACAGUACAAGUGAAAUGAUAUAAAUGGAACCACCUGCGUUCCUCGCAAGUACCAACCGUGGACUGUGGAGGGUCGCCAAACAGAGAACCAAGGGGACGGCAUCACCAACAGAUCGGCUUCUGAUCGACUUCAGCUGGGUGGUGAGUCUGCAGAGACGAGGGCGCAGCGGCGUUGGGGUCACCACGAGGUGUCUGUUUAGAGCAUGGAAUGAAAUGUUUUAAAUAAAAUAUUGGAGACCUUAUUCAUUGUGCUGGAGAAUGAAUCAGUGGAACAUGCUAUACCUUCUCUCAUUUCUUUCAAGUGGCAAUAUUAAUCGAAGUGCUUCCAGCGGAUGUGUGAAAUCUGUGGCCAGCUUUCUCCAUCAGGCUCUCGGCAGUUCUUCCUCAAGUCGUCACAACCAUAUAGACUUAUGCGCUGGAGGGAGGAUGGAAGAACUGGUAAAGAUGUUAUGUUGGGGCAAUGGCGGAUAUCAAGACUCUCCAGACUUGAGAGAAAUUUUAGAUUUCCUGGCAGGAACUCCAUUUUGCAUUGCCAAAAGUACAGGUGCUUGACAGAUAAGAGAUUUGCACAUUCUCCAAAGGAAGCUGACGCCUCGUUGCAAUAACGAAGAAUAAGGUUCGGUGGGACUAUAAACCCUUCAGCCUUGAGCAUCAAGUUGAGCAGUACGAAACUACUAACGACGAGCAAUUGCUGGACACGAAACUGUGAGAUGCAC
This 12804-nucleotide long non-coding RNA is filed under the name Sorghum bicolor (sorghum). RNAcentral describes it as "long non-coding RNA (SBIC_LNC013481)". The record is from RNAcentral. Lineage: Eukaryota; Viridiplantae; Streptophyta; Magnoliopsida; Poales; Poaceae.